AGAGCGAACGCUGGCGGCAGGCUUAACACAUGCAAGUCGAGCGGGCGUAGCAAUACGUCAGCGGCAGACGGGUGAGUAACGCGUGGGAACGUACCUUUUGGUUCGGAACAACCCAGGGAAACUUGGGCUAAUACCGGAUAAGCCCUUACGGGGAAAGAUUUAUCGCCGAAAGAUCGGCCCGCGUCUGAUUAGCUAGUUGGUGAGGUAAUGGCUCACCAAGGCGACGAUCAGUAGCUGGUCUGAGAGGAUGAUCAGCCACAUUGGGACUGAGACACGGCCCAAACUCCUACGGGAGGCAGCAGUGGGGAAUAUUGGACAAUGGGCGCAAGCCUGAUCCAGCCAUGCCGCGUGAGUGAUGAAGGCCCUAGGGUUGUAAAGCUCUUUUGUGCGGGAAGAUAAUGACGGUACCGCAAGAAUAAGCCCCGGCUAACUUCGUGCCAGCAGCCGAC
RNAcentral lists this ribosomal RNA (449 nucleotides) under uncultured bacterium. RNAcentral's name for it is "SSU rRNA". It matches the Rfam family "Bacterial small subunit ribosomal RNA", at positions 26 to 518 of the family's 1533-position model. The record is from RNAcentral.